AGUCAGCCUGUCCUUUGAAGCUUUGACACCAGGCAUUGCCUUCUCUCUAGCUGUGAAAGUCCUAGACACUAUCUUCUUUCAUUAUCAGCCUGCUUCAUCUACAUUG
RNAcentral lists this microRNA precursor (106 nucleotides) under Otolemur garnettii (small-eared galago). RNAcentral's name for it is "miRNA (ENSOGAG00000021099.1)". Lineage: Eukaryota; Metazoa; Chordata; Mammalia; Primates; Galagidae. The record is from RNAcentral.